UACGGGGGGAGCAAGCGUUGUUCGGAUUUACUGGGCGUAAAGGGCGCGUAGGCGGCGCGACAAGUCACUUGUGAAAUCUCCGGGCUUAACUCGGAGCGGCCAAGUGAUACUGUCGUGCUAGAGUGCGGAAGGGGCAACUGGAAUUCUCGGUGUAGCGGUGAAAUGCGUAGAUAUCGAGAGGAACACCUGCGGCGAAGGCGGGUUGCUGGGCCGACACUGACGCUGAAGCGCGAAAGCCAGGGGAGCGAACCGG
Molecule: ribosomal RNA, 253 nt
Filed under: uncultured bacterium
Lineage: Bacteria
Description: partial 16S ribosomal RNA
Rfam family: Bacterial small subunit ribosomal RNA
Source: RNAcentral